AAAUUAAAAAAAAAAAAACUGAAAAGAAAAUUACAAUAAGACCAGACCCAGCAAAGGCAAGCACUCAGUCGACUAAGAACCAAAGUAUUCCAAGAGAAUGGAUGGUAAAUUCAUUCAUAAUUACAUCGUUUUCUCAAAAUUAAAUAACGGACAGACUAGAAUGGGGAGAAUUAAAACAUAUUGCCUGAAAUUAAAGGCUUCAUAAAAUUGGAAAUCAGAAGAAAAUCUAGCUUGAAUAGACUAGCAUUACGAGCUUACAGACUCUUCCAACAC
RNAcentral lists this unclassified non-coding RNA (273 nucleotides) under Hevea brasiliensis (rubber tree). Lineage: Eukaryota; Viridiplantae; Streptophyta; Magnoliopsida; Malpighiales; Euphorbiaceae. The record is from RNAcentral.